ACUCAAAGGAAUUGACGGGGGCCCGCACAAGCGGCGGAGCAUGCGGAUUAAUUCGAUGCAACGCGAAGAACCUUACCUGGGUUUGACAUGUACACCAAAGCCUCAGAGAUGGGGCCCCCUUCGGGGGUGUUCACAGGUGGUGCAUGGCUGUCGUCAGCUCGUGUCGUGAGAUGUUGGGUUAAGUCCCGCAACGAGCGCAACCCUCGUUCCAUGUUGCCAGCGGGUUAUGCCGGGGACUCAUGGGAGACUGCCGGGGUCAACUCGGAGGAAGGUGGGGAUGACGUCAAGUCAUCAUGCCCCUUAUGUCCAGGGCUUCACGCAUGCUACAAUGGCCGGUACAAUGGGCUGCGAUACCGUAAGGUGGAGCGAAUCCCAAAAAGCCGGUCUCAGUUCGGAUCGGGGUCUGCAACUCGACCCCGUGAAGUCGGAGUCGCUAGUAAUCGCAGAUCAGCAACGCUGCGGUGAAUACGUUCCCGGGCCUUGCACACACCGCCCGU
Molecule: ribosomal RNA, 497 nt
Filed under: uncultured bacterium
Lineage: Bacteria
Description: partial 16S ribosomal RNA
Rfam family: Bacterial small subunit ribosomal RNA
Source: RNAcentral